RNAcentral lists this ribosomal RNA (253 nucleotides) under uncultured bacterium. RNAcentral describes it as "partial 16S ribosomal RNA". It matches the Rfam family "Bacterial small subunit ribosomal RNA", at positions 524 to 776 of the family's 1533-position model. The record is from RNAcentral.
UACAGAGGUCUCAAGCGUUGUUCGGAUUCAUUGGGCGUAAAGGGUGCGUAGGCGGCGCGGUAAGUCGGAUGUGAAAUCUCGGAGCUUAACUUCGAAACUGCAUUCGAUACUGCCGUGCUUGAGGACUGGAGAGGAGUCUGGAAUUCACAGUGGAGCAGUGAAAUGCGUGGAUAUUGUGAGGAACACUAGUGGCGAAGGCGAGACUCUGGACAGUUCCUGACGCUGAGGCACGAAGGCCAGGGGAGCAAACGGG